RNA transcript from Gopherus flavomarginatus (Mexican gopher tortoise), 7095 nucleotides. It is a transcript of the gene named tigger transposable element-derived protein 1-like, with no coding region annotated. NCBI's taxonomy places the organism in Eukaryota, Metazoa, Chordata, Testudines, Testudinidae. The transcript has 4 exons. The record is from RefSeq and is a predicted model, not a curated record.
GAUAAAUCGAUCCCUGAGCGCUCUCCUGUCGACUCCUGUACUCCACUGCCGGGAGAGUGCAGGCGGAGUCGAUGGGGGGAGCGGCAGCAGUCGACUCACAGCGGUGAAGACACCAUGCACAGAUGGUUGGAAAUAACGAACAGGCAACUCACUGAAGGAGGCGUUUGCAGCUAUAGACGCUCCACGGGUUACGCAAGAUCCGACUAAAGCAAAUUCGACCUUAUGCAAAAAGUUCCAUAAGGCAUAAAUAAAAUGUUCGAGUUGCAGAAAAUAUUGCGUAACGUACGGGAACGCAAAAUACUGUAGUGCAGUGUGCAGAGUAAUACAGCAGUAGCAUCUCCUACAAGGGAAGGCUUUGUGCUCUCACAGCCUCUCAGUCUCGUGUUAUUUCAGUGAUACUGUAUUUCUAUUAUUUCACCCUGUUAUUUCAUUCAAAUCAUGCCUGGAAAGCGAUCAAGUGAUAUCAAGAGUGCAGGACCAGUUCGUAAGCGAAAGAAGAUUGAUUUAGAGCAGAAAAUGAAAAUAGUGAAAAAGUAUGAAGGCGGACAAAGCCUGUCGUCAAUUGCUCGUGAACUCGAUUUGGCUACCUCAACAGUGAAAAGUAUUUUGAAUGAUAGUGCACGCAUAAAGGAACACGUGAAAGGCUCUGCUCCUUUAAAAUCAACAGUCAUAACAAAGCAGCGUUCUGGCGCUAUCUAUGAAAUGGAAAAGUUAUUAACAAUAUGGAUGGACGAUCAGAUUCAAAAACGUGUGCCGCUUAGCCUCAUGAUUAUUCAAGCAAAGGCUAAAAGUAUUUUCGAAGACAUAAAGGGAAAAUACAGUGAUCCUAACGCAAAGUUUGUGGCUAGUCAUGGGUGGUUUAAUAGAUUUAAACAACGUGCAAAUUUUCACAAUGUAAAAGUGAGUGGCGAGGCUGCUAGUGCUGAUACAAAAGCAGCUGAAAAGUAUCCCGAAGUGUUACGAAAACUUAUAGAAGAAUGUGGUUAUACAGCACAACAAAUCUUUAACGUCAACGAAACUGGAUUGUUUUGGAAAAAAAUGCCAGACAGAACAUACAUUUCAAAAGAGGAAAAGACGACGCCAGGGUUUAAGGCUGCGAAAGAUAAGCUAACGCUUUUGCUUGGGGGUAAUGCAGCGGGAGAUUGCAAAUUGAAACCAUUGCUUGUUUAUCAUUCAGAAAAUCCCCGUGCGUUUAAAGGCAUUAGCGAGGUUAACCUUCCAGUUCAUUUCCGUUCAGAUCGAAAGGCUUGGAUCACAAUGGCACUUUUCGAAGACUGGUUUAUAAAUUUAUUUAUCCCCGAAGUGGAAAAAUUCUGCAGAGAAAACAACAUCCCGUUCAAGAUUAUGCUUAUCGUCGAUAAUGCUCCUGGACAUCCUGCACAUUUAGAUGACUAUCACCCUAAUGUAAAAGUCGUGUUUCUGCCUCUUAACAAGACUUCGAUCCUACAGCCCAUGGCUCAGGGGGUCAUUGCUAAUUUUAAAGCCUGUUAUCUACGAAGAACAUUUGCACAAGCAGUCGAAGCAACAGACAGAGAGACUGGGAAGACUUUACAUGAUUUUUGGAAAUCGUAUAACAUUUACCAAGCCAUCAUAAAUAUUGCUAAGGCCUGGGCAGAGGUUACCCAAGUUUGUUUGAAUGCCGUAUGGAAGAAAAUGUGCCCACAGUUCGUACACAGCUUUAAAGGUUUUGAAAAAGACAAAACAUAUGAGGAGGUGGCAGAUGAAAUUGUGAAGCUUGCCAAGCAGCUUGAGCUGGAGAUUGAUGUUGGUGAUGUAGAUGAGUUUAUCGAAUCCCAUGGAGCUGAAUUAUCAAAUGAGGAUCUCAUGGAAUUAGAAGCAGCAAAAGUAAAAGAACAGACUGAAGCUGAGGAUGAAGUUGAAGUAGUAGAAGAGCCACGACACUUCAACACCAAGGAGAUGGCACUUGCAUUUCGUGAGAUUGACUCUGCACUGGCAAGGUUUGAGAAGAUGGACCCCAAUUCCUCACGAUUCUUGAAAGUAAACAGAGGCAUUGACGAAACGCUGGCCUGUUAUAGACAGAUAUAUGAAGAGAAGAAAAAGGCCACCAUCCAGUCAUCUCUCAAUAUGUUUGUAAUGAAGACUGAACAGCCUGCAACGUCCACAUCUCCACAGCCUUCCACUGCCAAAGCCCCCUCUGACGACCCCAAUGAUGUAAUGCCUGUCUCCUCCUCUCCUUCCUCAUCUACAAAUUAAGCCCAUUGUCAUGCACCACCAAAAUGGAGCCUUCAGUGUGCCAGGAUAACAAUAGGAUUAAGAUUUUCAAUGUUUGAAUCCAGGGCUGCAAAAUAAUUGGAUGACUUGCCAUCCAGUGCUGCUACAGACGCAUCUGCAGUGGGGCAGAGCAGAGAUGUGCUGGGCGAUUCCUUCCUGCAUUUAAAUUGAAAUAAUGAGCAUGUGUUGUGUUCCUCUGUACCCCACUUACACUCAAAGGCCAAAACUCAGGUGAGUUUGAGGACUCAUUGUGAAAGCAUCUGCUUUGUUUCCAGAUAAGAGUAACUGACCUAUCUGAAGCAAGGGGGGAAGUUUACCUGCUCUGUGGAAAAGGUAAAUUUCCCAUCCUUUCCCUUGCUGUCAUUCCUACAGAAAGGGAGCAUUUUAAAACCAAACACAGAAGGUCAAAUCUUCCCCUGGUGCCUUUAUUCAUCUAAAAAGGCUGCAGCUGUACAAAACUACCCUCACAAUUCAAUACAUGAAGAAAAAUUACAAAGACUAGAGCCAAAGUUAUCCAGCAAAAUCAGAUGCCAAAGAAAACUGUUGCCAGCUAUUUUAUUAAUUUCUCUCAUGUGGGAAUUUUAGUCCUUUACAUUUGUUUAUCCAAUAAUUAAAGCAGCUUAUUAACCAGAAUCCAUCCAUCACAAACUUGACAGCUCCUGGGUUGGCUAAUUCUAUUUUAUAAAGGAAAUACAGAGUCCCCGUUGGCUGACUUGUUUGUGAAACUACUUCUGCAGUGCUAGCAAAAUUGACAUUUAAUUCCAUUUGAUCGGGGGGGGGAGGGGAGAAUGACACACAUGAUGAGCAGCCUCAGAUUCUAAACCAGUACCCUUGUCUAUGGAGGGCAAUGUGCUUGCGAUUGGCCUUCUGGGUAUAUUAUUGCAUUAGCAUAUUACACACUACUGAUCAGGAUCCCUGCUCAACUCCUGAUGCGAUUGGCUGGCGCUCCUACGUCCAAGUUUCUUAACCUUGCCUUAUGUUGCCUUGUGUUGGCAUUUGAUCCUGAGGAGGCGUGAAGGAAAUGGGUCUAAAUAAACCAAGCCAUCUGCCAAGGUGAAGCAGCUCAGUGAUGGAAUUAAAAGCCAGAGACACCUGCUGUUGAUUAGCUCUGUCCUCUUGUACAGAAGUACAAGUAAACAACCUCCAUGCCAGGUGGCUUUGUAUACACCCGAGUGCACUGUAUGUACACAGCUACUGCAAGAGAAGCGGUGUGGCCCAUGGGAAUGGGCACUGCACUGGGAGGCAGGAGAUCUGGGUUCUAAAUAAAUACACUAAAAGUGGCAAUUGCGGGGGGCCAUUUAAGUCCAAUAGAGAGGAGUUGAAAGACUAACUGCUCCCAUGCAAGGGCUUGUCUACACACAGCUUUUGUAUCAGUUUCAAACCAGCACAAGGGUGCUGGAACAAUGUGUAUAGUGGAGGUGCUGAGAGUCAUUGCACCAAACUGUAAACCCUGCCACUUCAAGCUAGGGGGUAUGGCAGCACCCCUAGUUCCAGCACCCACGAACCAGUAUGAAGCAAUACAACCUUCUAGUGUUGGUACUGUUAGCUACACAUAGGUCUUGGGGAAAAUUAAACCAAUAUGGUUAUAACUCAUCUGUCUUUUUUUUUUCCAAUGUAACCUAUGUCAUUGCAUCCACACACUAGGGGUAUCCCAAUAUAACUAUACUAAACUAAUAUCUAAUCAUACCCCUAACUGAAAUAAUUACAAUAGUCCAAAGCCUGGGUUUAGAGUAGGCAUAAAUGCACUGACCGUCACCACCUCUUUAAAAGCAGUAGCUAUCCUGGGAACCACUUUAUAGGACUUAAAAUGAGUAAUUCUGCCUAUGCCCAACACAGAGAAUGCGUGAGUCAUUAAUUAGACAGCACUUUGCAUCAGGAGAUCUCAAAGCACUUUACAAAAUUGGUCAGUAUCAUUACCCUCAUUUUACAGAUGAGGAAACUGAGGCAUGAGCUGUUAGUUGCCCAGAGUCACCCAGCAAACAAGUGGCAGAGCCAGGAAUUGAACCUAGGUCUCGUGAGUGCCAUUUCAGUGCACUGUCCAUUGGGAAACACCACCUCCAAACUAACUUUUUAACUUAAGAAUGCAAUUAGACACAUCAUCCAUACCCAGCUAUUUUAAUUAGAAAACCUAGUCUGAAUACAGGCUGGGAAAUUGCUACGAUUAACAUAAACAACCAGGGCAUUCCCCACUAUAUAUAUAUUAAAAUCACAUUUCUCCUUUGGGAAGUUUCUGUUGGCAUAUUCAUGGCCACAAGACACAGCAUUUUCUCCCCUUUCUCUGGCUCUUAGCAAAUAUUAGACAGAAGUCUGUACAAAACUCCUCACCUGGACAGGCUCUCACUGUGUAAUUCACGUCUUUCUAUAUCAUCAAAGAAUGGGCUCUCCGGUUUAGCCUGCUCCUCUUCUAGCUCUGGACUUUCACAUUCCUGAGUAGACAUCGUAACCUUUAAAAUGUAGAGAGAUUUUUCAGGAGGCUGCAUGGAUCAGGCACUGCAUUGGGACUUAUUCUAGCCCUUGGCUCUGCCACUAAUUUGCUGUGUGACUCUUCUGCCUUGUCUAUUUAGAGUAGAAACUCUCCAGAGCAGGGACUGUCUCUUACAAAGUAUUUGUACAACUCUUAGCAAAAUGGGGCCCUGAUCUUGUUGCAGCCGCUAGUCUCUAAAGUAACAUAUAAUUAAUAAGAAUAACAGGCUCAAAAUCACUGACCUACAUGAGCUAUUAAAUCAAACUGAGAGUUUAAAACAAAUUCAAUAGAGCUUGAUGGAAACUUUUGAUGACAUUUUGGGGGGGUUGGAAAAUGCUGAUUCCUCCUAACUGAAUCUUCCCAUGGGACCAUGUCAGUUUUGAUUAAAUUUUUGUUUAAUAUCAAAACAGCUGUUUUUGACAUGUUCAUAAUUACACAUUUGGAAUUUUCAGUUCAAAACUACUUUUUGGUUAAAAAUGUGUGAUAUUUUAUAUUUUUAAAUAUUUUUUAAAUAAAAAAGGUCAAAACUGAAACACGACAGAUUGAAUUAAUGGAAAGGAAAUAUUUCAAUUUACCCCAAAUGAUUUUUUUCAGUGUUUCAGUUUAUGAAAAAUUUUGAGAUUUUGGCUCUUCGUCCCUAUUUGGAACCAGGAAAAAAGUAAAAGUCUCAAAAUUUGUCAUAGGAUGGGAAAUCCAUUUCCUGACUAGCUCUAAUAUUGAGUCUGUUUCUCUUCUACACUAGUUUUACACUGAUAUAACUUCACUGGAGUUACUCCCAAUUUAGUUAGAGAGCUGGACAAAAUACGCUAUUUUUAUCUAUGACUUGAUUUCACUUGGAGAGUUUUAAAUAGUCUGUAUUUUAUGAGAUGUAUUUUAGGGCAAAAUUUGCUAAGCUGAUAUUUAUUGUAAGAAAACUGUUAAAACACUGAGGAUACGUAUAUAAAUAUAAAGACACUGCAACUCUAACCUCUGUUAGAGGACUAUGAAAUUACAUCUGUCUAGAAACAUUUUGAUCUUUCUAGCUCUAUAAGUCAAUUGUAUUUACCUAGAUUGUAAAUUCUGUGGAAUAAGGAAUGUCUUUUUGUUGUGGGUGUAUGUACAGCAUCUAACACUAUCCCCAGGCAAGAGGUUCUAGCAAUUACUAUAAUAAUAAUAAUUAAUAAUAAAGCACCUAGAACCUACGCUGGUUACCUGGAUUUGAAAGUAUAACCUUGUCUGACCUCAGCCAAGUUCUUCAAAACUCUAUAGGAAAUUAAUUUUGAAAAGGAGAGAUAAGUACAUACAAUGAUUGUUAAAUUCACAUCAUUUACUAAGCUGAAAUGUUGCAGGAAGCUAGCUAUUGACCACUCAUUACAAUUCUGCUCCACACCCUCCCUCCUUUAUAUAACUAGAUAAGUUUUACUGGGAAAAAUCUGACUUCUGGAUUCCCUGCUCUGAGGAUAUUAGCUGUUUUUCUUAAAGCCCCAGCUCCUGGGAUCAUGUGAGCAUCUGUUUUCAUUAAAAACAAAAAAAUGAAAGAAGCCAUUCUUAGGUCUUGUGGUUGAGGAAAAAUGCUUGAAAUCAUGAUCCUCUAAAGACAGCAAAUAAUCAGACACCCAAAUGUAUUUGUCUAUUUAUUAUUUUUUAAGCCAAUCUCAUGAUCUUUUUAGGAUUUGGGGUUGGAUUUUUGGGGGGUUGGCAGUACUGUGACUCCUAAUAUCUGCUUUUUAAAAAAAAACUGAUCAAAGAAGAUUUUCUCAUGCUCAAAAAGGUCCUAAAAGCAUUCCCACUGAGUCUGAAUACCGAUGGUGGCCGAAGGACAGGAAUGAGUAAGAAAUCCUAGAUAGCCACAGAUUUCUGGCAGGUUUCAGGUGCAUUGGGAGAGCUAUUUGGAGAAGCAUGAACAUCAUCUACCCUCACUUGUUGCUUUGCCCCAGGAGAGGCUCACCCACAAGAGAUUUUGGUUUCUGCAGCUCAGAAGCGCAGGAUCUCAACGCUUUCCCACAUCUCGCUGGGUAUGCACCUCGCUAGCAUUCUUCAUGCCCAUCUGAAUGCAGUAGGUUCCCGCCAGUAAGAAAUGAAAAUAAACUGGCAGUUGCCAGCGGUGCUGAAAACAUGGUGAUUGAAGAGAACACUAUAGACAGAGGCACUCGUGGUCUCAUGGCGAGAGGGCUCUUUAAUACAAAUUUGCAUGAUUGUGUCCAACCAGGGGAGGCAACUUCUACUGAGAUGUAUUUGCUGCUUUUUAGAGUCCACUACUCCCUUCACCCCAAUCCAGUCAUGUAUAUGGGAAGUAUGGGAAACCAGCAAGAGAUGGCUUUGUUUUUAGUGCCUGCCUGUAUUAAAGAAGCAAAGAAAAGCAAAGACCCCACUGCUGUCUGGAACAGCUUAAUAAAAAUCCAUAGAUUUGUUCUACAUAA